Molecule: ribosomal RNA, 407 nt
Filed under: uncultured bacterium
Lineage: Bacteria
Description: partial 16S ribosomal RNA
Rfam family: Bacterial small subunit ribosomal RNA
Source: RNAcentral
AUUGAACGCUGGCGGCAGGCCUAACACAUGCAAGUCGAACGGAGUGGCGGACGGGUGAGUAAUGUCUGGGAAACUGCCUGAUGGCGGGGGAUAACUACUGGAAACGGUAGCUAAUACCGCAUACUAUCAGAUGAGCCUAGGUCGGAUUAGCUAGUUGGUGGGGUAAAGGCCAACCAGGGCGACGAUCCGUAACUGGUCUGAGAGGAUGAUAAGCCACACGGGAACUGAGACAGGGUCCAGACUCCUACGGGAGGCGGCAGUGGGGAAUAGUGGACAAUGGGCGCAAGCCUGAUCCAGCCAUGCCGCGUGUGUGAAGAAGGUCUUCGGAUUGUAAAGCACUUUAAGUUGGGAGGCGUUACCAGCAGAAUAAGCACCGGCUAACUUCGUGCCAGCAGCCGCGGUAAUAC